Oryctolagus cuniculus (rabbit) is the source of this 1378-nucleotide non-coding RNA. Lineage: Eukaryota; Metazoa; Chordata; Mammalia; Lagomorpha; Leporidae. The record is from RefSeq and is a predicted model, not a curated record.
AGCAGCAAGGGGCACACCUGGGAGCUGUUGGACACUGAGCCACCAUGCAGCAUUGCCUCCAGCCCUCAGCUGACCCACCCUGGGCUAUCCCAGCCCCUCUGAAGGACUCAAAAUGGCCAUCAGCUUUUGCAGGUCCCUGAAUCAAUGGUGGUGGUGCAGAUGUGUGUGUGUGCUGUUUUAUUAUUUUAGACUAUAGAACGAUUUGGAAAAACUUCCAUUUUUUUUAUGUUCCCUGGAAAAGUCUAAAUGCCCCAGCUGUCAUUGGCUCCUGUGACAAAAGCUGCUGAUGAAAGGUGGGCGGUAGCCUUCUGAGGAGGAGCAGUGCCUGACACCUGUUCCAUUCACCCAGGUUUGCUGCCUGGUCAGGCCUCAUUAUUCCCUCAUCAUACUGCAUUAGCAUAGUGUAAGCCACUCCCCCGCUCCAGAACAGUUGACAAUCGUCAUGGCAACCCAGGAAGGGGCCGCGGGAGGAGGAAAAGAGAAGCAUCCCCAACUCCUAGAAGUCACCACCCCUGCCCAGAAACGAGUGUCUUGCUCCGUCUUCUUGUCACAUCGCAUUGGCUAGUGCCUCCCGUCAGUAGAUGGAACUAUCCGCAGAGCACUUCCCGCUUGGUCCUGUUUUUGAGACGAAUGCAAAUCGCUGGAUUCGCACAGUCGCAAGGCUCUCCAGUUAGAAAUUUUCUUGCAAAUAACAGAAAACUUGCCUAACAGAGACUCAAGCGAAAAGGUUUUUUUCCUGCAAUAACAAGAAAACUGGGGAUAGACGGGUAUUAGUUUAUUCCAGGUUCCACUGCAUCUCGAGUCUUCUGCUGCCUGCUGUGUUGUGGAAGUUGUCAGGAUCAAAACGGAGUUGCUGAAGUCAAAUCCUAAUGAGGUGGAGUUCGGAGGCCUUGAAGGCAGGGCGCUACGACAGGACUCACUGAGAACCACGGCCUUCGCAAAGGCCCCACAGCCUUGGGCAGAAAACACGUCUCCGGGAGCUUGUGCCCGACAGCUGUGUGUCCAAGCUCAGGCUGUUGCCUGCCCUGCUGCCUGCCGAUCCUGGUAGCCAGGAAUACACGUUUCAAAACAAUUUACAGGGGCCAAGGCUGUGGCAUAGCAGGAAAAGCUGACACCUGCUGUGCCGGCAUCCCAUAUGGUCACCAGUUUGAGUCACGGCUGCUCCCUGAUCCAGCUCUCUGCUAUGGCUUGGGAAAGCAGUGGUAGAUGGCCCAAGUCAUUGGGCUCCUGCACCCACGUGGGAGACCCAGAAGAAGCUCCUGGCUCCUGGCUUCAGAUCAGCACAGCUCCAGCCAUUGCGGCCAUCUGGAGAGUGAAUCAGCGGAUGGAAGACCUCUCUCUCCCUCUCUCUUUCUUUUUGCCUCUGCCUUUCUGUAAC